UUUUUUAUAGGUGAAUGAAGAACAUUUUAUGAGAAUGAGACAUAAGCCUCAGGAUCAAUCAUUCGGGGUUCCACCGGAAUGCUAGAUUCCAAUGGUCCCUUUUCAAUCGAAUUAAUUGAGAAGAUUGUUUGAUGGACAACGAACGCUUGAUAAGAAUCAAUUGUUCAAAGGGUUACGCCAGAAUGCUUGAUCUCAACGGCCCUUGUUUUGUCCAGGUUUUUAGGGACAAAAGAAAAAAUUAAAAAAAUUAAAAAAAGAAACCAAGGGGUCAUGCCCCAUUUGUAGUAAACUUAUUUCUUAAAUAUUACUAAAUGUACCGGUAACACUUGAUAAUGCUUUUUUUAAUAUAAAACAAAAAAUAAAUAAUAAAUAAUAAAAUAAGUGAAGAGAAAGGACAACACCCCUACUUCAUCCAACCACUCUAGUACUAUUGAAUCUAAGAAUGAUUCAUUCUAAAUCACCCAAAUUCAAUAAUUAAUUUACAAAACAAUAAAUAUUACUUUUAAAAAAGAAAAGAAAAAAAAGAAAAGAAAAAAAAA
Molecule: long non-coding RNA, 539 nt
Filed under: Lathyrus oleraceus (garden pea)
Lineage: Eukaryota; Viridiplantae; Streptophyta; Magnoliopsida; Fabales; Fabaceae
Description: Pisum sativum (pea) long non-coding RNA (PSAT_LNC034904)
Source: RNAcentral